This 1284-nucleotide small RNA is filed under the name Arabidopsis thaliana (thale cress). RNAcentral's name for it is "ATSL016330". The record is from RNAcentral. Lineage: Eukaryota; Viridiplantae; Streptophyta; Magnoliopsida; Brassicales; Brassicaceae.
AAUUCAAUUAUCAUUCCAUCAACAUUUAACAUAAUCCUCCUAGAAUAAUUUUUGGGUUCACCCCUAGGGUUGUAUUUUAAUCAUGAAAAUCCAAAUUCUGACAACAACGAGCUAAUCGAAAUCAAGGAGCUGUUGGGAAUCAAAAAGCUGCAUUAUAUCACAUUAGAUGGCUGAGUUCCUGACAUGGAUGUGUGAGCUGACAUGGCACAGAUGUAGCGCUUGAUGUGACGUGCCAAGUAGCCUUGCUGACUUGGCGUGGUCAUCAAAGACGAAGGUCGGUUGAGAAGAUAUGGUGAAUAUCCUUCCGAUCACAUAUGGAAAGGGAUAAGCUUGAAGAUCAAGGGAGAUCCUAGAGAUUAUGGUCCUGGAGAUUAGUAUAAGUAUUCUAGAGGUCGGCCAUAAACCGAUUGAGCACUCUAGAAUAUUGUCAUACGAUUGUAAACUUCCAAACCUAGCAAAGAGAUUAGAAGGCUUCCGGAAGCUGAUUGACUUUUCUUUCAACAAAAAUCAAGUCUUUCUCUAGCAAAUUCAUAUCCAGCCUAACUUUGUUUUCACUAGAGAUAUCUGAAAACCUUCUUUCUUGUACUGCAUAGGAGGGAUUAUACAUGAAGCCUUGGGUGAAAACUCAAUUUUUUGCCCAACGUGUAGUUUAUCAGAAAGUCGAUGAUUCCUAUAACAAGCACUUUGUGUUCCUCGUCCACUCCGACUAAAAGCGAAUAAUCCAUAACAUCAACAGUACUGUAUAAAGAGAUAGUAGAUGCUGAAGAUAACUUGGGAAUAGAUAAGAGAAAAUGGAUAGAAAGUAUAUCAAUAAGACUAUUCAUGAAAACCACAACCAUGCUCCCAAGCAUGCAAAACAUUCACUACAAAAAGUGUGCAUUAAUAGCACAUUAUGAUAGUAUAGAUUUUGCAAAUGCUAUUAAAGAUGAUAUUGAGAGAUUUAUAACUAUAUCAUAACCAUUUUUAAAUGCUAACCAUAUAAUAGCAAAGUGGAAAUGUAGAAUCACUUAUACCACCAAAACUUCACAAAUAUUUCACAAAAACUGCUCAAAUACUUGAGCAAAAUUUCUUUUAAAAAGAAGCAUUUAUUAACAUAUAAUCCUAAUUUCUAUCUUCCUCUCCUUCAUGGUUCCUAUACCUCUCUAUUCCUCCUCUUCACUCGAACUCUCUUCCUAUGAUGAUCUCAAUAUUUAAGAUAUAAAAUUUAUGCUGUCACAUAUACACACAAAAAAAAAAUAAAAAAAAGUGCAAAACCAUUUGUUGUGGAUAAAUAUGCUUGGCUAG